RNAcentral lists this ribosomal RNA (752 nucleotides) under Bacillus thuringiensis. RNAcentral describes it as "bacterial SSU rRNA". It matches the Rfam family "Bacterial small subunit ribosomal RNA", at positions 78 to 817 of the family's 1533-position model. The record is from RNAcentral. Lineage: Bacteria; Bacillati; Bacillota; Bacilli; Caryophanales; Bacillaceae.
GCUUGCUCUCAGAAGUUNGCGGCGGACGGGUGAGUAACACGUGGGUAACCUGCCCAUAAGACUGGGAUAACUCCGGGAAACCGGGGCUAAUACCGGAUAACAUUUUGAACUGCAUGGUUCGAAAUUGAAAGGCGGCUUCGGCUGUCACUUAUGGAUGGACCCGCGUCGCAUUAGCUAGUUGGUGAGGUAACGGCUCACCAAGGCAACGAUGCGUAGCCGACCUGAGAGGGUGAUCGGCCACACUGGGACUGAGACACGGCCCAGACUCCUACGGGAGGCAGCAGUAGGGAAUCUUCCGCAAUGGACGAAAGUCUGACGGAGCAACGCCGCGUGAGUGAUGAAGGCUUUCGGGUCGUAAAACUCUGUUGUUAGGGAAGAACAAGUGCUAGUUGAAUAAGCUGGCACCUUGACGGUACCUAACCAGAAAGCCACGGCUAACUACGUGCCAGCAGCCGCGGUAAUACGUAGGUGGCAAGCGUUAUCCGGAAUUAUUGGGCGUAAAGCGCGCGCAGGUGGUUUCUUAAGUCUGAUGUGAAAGCCCACGGCUCAACCGUGGAGGGUCAUUGGAAACUGGGAGACUUGAGUGCAGAAGAGGAAAGUGGAAUUCCAUGUGUAGCGGUGAAAUGCGUAGAGAUAUGGAGGAACACCAGUGGCGAAGGCGACUUUCUGGUCUGUAACUGACACUGAGGCGCGAAAGCGUGGGGAGCAAACAGGAUAGAUACCCUGGUAGUCCCGCCGUAACGAUGAGUGCU